Molecule: long non-coding RNA, 2096 nt
Filed under: Mytilus galloprovincialis (Mediterranean mussel)
Lineage: Eukaryota; Metazoa; Mollusca; Bivalvia; Mytilida; Mytilidae
Source: RNAcentral
UUUUUAUUAUUCAGAUCACAUACAUACUACAUAUAUAAUGGUAUAAAUUAAAAGUGCAUAUUGUAAACAAUAUUUUAAGAUGAAUAUCAUUGUAAACAAUUUACAUAAAUUGACUAGUAUUUAUUUAUAUGGCCAAGUAUAUAACAAAGUAUAGAUUCUCAGUUAUCUUCAGGAAAUAUAAAAGAGAAAAUUCUUUCUUUAUUUAAUUGCAAAUUUAUAACUUUUCCAACAUUGAUUGUUGUGACCCUUGUCAAAAUGGUUAAUAUCUUUUCCUGCCUUUACAUAAAUUGUGUUACAUGAUUUUUUAGGUGCCAUUUUUUUUUUAACAAUUUGAUAUGUUAGAUUUAUACAUAAAUGAUUAAUAAUUCUGUUUGACCUGAAGUAAAGGUUCCUAAAAACAUCCUGUUUUGCUCAUAAGUAGGUUUUACACAGAAAGAAAAGAGGGACGAAAGAUACCAAAGGACAGUCAAACUAUGAAGAUGACAAUAACAUAUAUUUAUCUUCAGUGUUAUAAUAUAUUGUUAUUAUCAUGGUGGAAGUUGGUUAUAUCCUUGUCUUUUAGUGGAUAGUAAUUUCAUUUAGAAUCAUAACACAUCUUCACUUAUUUCAAAAUGGCAAAAAGGCACUGUAGUUUUGCUUUUUAUAAACAUGUCAAUCUAAUGCAAAAAUAGUAUGAGAUUCUUAUGAAAUCUGAAGGUCUUUUUCAGGAUAAGGGAUUUGUUAAUUAAAAAACAAAAGUCAGAGAAAUCUUGCACUAGUGCAGAAGAGAUUCUUAAUAUGCUUCAAUGGAACCAUCAUCGUUUCAUUAAAAAAUAAUGAAGCCAAAUUUAUACAAUCAUAGACUACGUCCUUAACUUACAAAUCAAAACCCAAGGAAACGUUAAUAUAUUUUCAUAGUUUGUUUCCCUAAUUUCUUGUUUCUUUUGAAAUUGCCUAAACGAAAGGUCAAUGAAACUAUGAAACAUAUGACUAGUUAUAUUUCAUUUUAUAUUACUAAAUAUCACAUGACAUUAGAGACAGUUAAAAUUCAUGUUCCAAUAGACAGAGUCACGUCUUAAAAAUCCAUUUUGAUUACUUCACUUUAAUGCUGUUGUCCAUGGUUUAUUUCACUUUCUUUUUAAUAUCAGUUUAUAAAAACAAAAAUCAUAAAAAAAAUUAAAAUACUGUAACAUAUAGGAAUGGCUAGACUGCAACUGCAAAUUUGAUUGAGUGUGUCAUAAUCACAUAUUUAGUACUCCAGUACCUAGAUCAAACUAAAAUCUUUAUAUAAAACAAUUCAUAAACAUUUUAAAAAUUUGACAAGACACUUUUUGACAUAUAACAGAUCAUAUUACAAAAAAAUACAUCAUAAAAUGCAACUAGUAUCCAGUAUAAAAACACAUAAAAAUAUAUAUUGAAAAAACAAUUAAACAUUUGAACAAUAACAUUGUAAAUAAUAACAAUUUUCUUAUAAAACACCAACAAAAUGUUUGAAAAAUAAGAUUGGUCCCCUUUUAAAACAAAUAUCUUUAAUAAUAACUGAAAAUUGCAUACGAAAAAAGAAUAAAGGACGUUUUGACUUUGAUAGUGAUUCCAUCACAGUGAUAUACCAAGCAGGCAAAAUUUUUCUGGCUGACAAAAAAUAAAUCCUUUCAGCCAUUAUAUUUUUUUGUUGGUUUCUUCUGUGUGCUUGUAAUUACUAGUAUAAGAGAAACAGUUUCAAUCACUGCAUCUCAUUGGACAAAAUAUUUCUACACUUUCAACAGUUAAAAAUAUUAAAUAUUGAGUAUGCUUAGCAAGUGUUCAUUUUAAAUUUGAUUUUGCUGGGUUUACUGGAGACAUGUUUCAUCAAACUCAAAGCAUGGUAGAAUCUGCAUGUCAACUUUCGUUGUUAGCCAGGUAAAAAUUAUGGAGAUUAUUAUUUAUACCCAUAAAUUUAUACAUUUUGUCAACUUUUUGCAAAUUUCAGCACUUAUUUAUGGUUAAAAAAAAUCUUAUUUCAACUGGUUUUGUCAUGUCAAUUGUAAAAUCAGGCAUAUUAACAAUAAAAAAUGCAGAGCUUUGUGUUUAUAAUUAAUUCCAAAUACUUUGUGAAAAGUCAUGCUACAAUAAAACAA